This 429-nucleotide ribosomal RNA is filed under the name Chloroflexota bacterium. Its description in RNAcentral is "Chloroflexi bacterium partial 16S ribosomal RNA". It matches the Rfam family "Bacterial small subunit ribosomal RNA", at positions 355 to 776 of the family's 1533-position model. Lineage: Bacteria; Bacillati; Chloroflexota. The record is from RNAcentral.
UGGGGAAUAUCGCACAAUGGGCGCAAGCCUGAUGCAGCCAUGCCGCGUGUGUGAAGAAGGCCUUCGGGUUGUAAAGCACUUUCAGCGGGGAGGAAGGCGAUAAGGUUAAUAACCUUGUCGAUUGACGUUACCCGCAGAAGAAGCACCGGCUAACCCCGUGCUAGCAGCCGCGGUAAUACGGAGGGUGCAAGCGUUAAUCGGAAUUACUGGGCGGAAAGCGCACGCAGGCGGUCUGUCAAGUCGGGUGUGAAAUCCCCGGGCUCAACCUGGGAACUGGAAUCGAAACUGGCAGGCUAGAGUAUUGUAGAGGGGGGUAGGAUUCAAGGUGUAGCGGUGAAAUGCGUAGAGAUCUGGAGGAAUAACAGUGGCGAAGGCGGCGCCCUGGGCAAAGACUGACGCUAAGGUGCGAAAGCGUGGGGAGCAAACAGG